Long non-coding RNA from Sapajus apella (tufted capuchin), 1324 nucleotides. RefSeq lists it as uncharacterized. The record is from RefSeq and is a predicted model, not a curated record. The transcript is spliced from 3 exons. Lineage: Eukaryota; Metazoa; Chordata; Mammalia; Primates; Cebidae.
CCGCCUAGCCGUAGCCCUCUUGCCCGGUGCUGGUCCUGCUCGGUGCUCCGCGCCGUGGAUCGGGGGCUGGCAGUGUAGACCGAACCGGGGCCGAGGGGCUUUUCCGCAGAGCCUCCUGGGGCUCGGUGCGGGGCGCUCAGCUCGACCCCAGCGCAGGGAAUAUUGAGAAGUGCGGCGUCCCCUUCCUCACACGCUUGCGCGUGUUGCGGGGGAACCGUCGACCUUAAAGAAAAAAAGCUGAGGCAAACUUUAUAUAAAAAGUAGAGAGGUUAUUUGGGCCAAGUGUGAAGAUUGCAGCCCGGGAGUACAGCUUCAGGUUGCCCUGAACAUAGGAUUCGCAACAGCUACAAAUGAGGCCAGAGAAGUGACAAGACAGAUGCCAGUCCAGCAGGUGGUCAUGUCCAGAGCGUGCAGCCUCAGGACACGGUCUGGGAACAAAGACUGCUGGAAAGUUGGAAGCUGGCAACAGGCUCUCAGCUGUGAAGUCCCUGGGGUAGGGGAGAAGUGGUCAAAGAAAGCAGAGGACAAAAUUGAAGACACUGGAUAUUCUACCAAGGCUUUGCCUGGAGUGGUGAACUUUCAGAUAUGACCAGACUGCUUUGAGGAAUUGAGGUUGGCUUUAUAGAGCCAAUAAAAAGCUACUUGGAAAGACUGGCCAUGUACCUUGUCUAUACAGUUCCCUUACAAGGUUCCUGACCUUAAGGUAAGUAAAUAAUUUCCCUUUCUGAUAGGUCCAGGAACCUCAGAAUAUUUUGGGGCCUUGAGAAAAGAGGAACUCACCCAGUUAAUGCAGGUUUUACAGGCACAAUCUGGUGAUGAAUCAAUCUGUGGCUUUUCAAACCCUCAAGGCUUUAAAAAGUCUAACCUGAAAUUCUCUAAGAAAAUUCCUCAAAGCCAACUGGAAAAGAACCUUUAUGGUCAGUCACAAUUCUUGUUCCACUUUAUACAAAUAAUGAGUCUGAGUAUAGUGCUAAAACUUAUUUUACAAGUAACUUGGUCCCACUAAGAUUUAUUUUUGGUAGAAAUGGGCAGUUGGAGAGAGAAAAGUUAAGUUUCAGAAGAAAACUGUUGUAUACCUACUAUUAGAUUCCAGCCUGAUGACUGUUUCUGAGUUUUUAUUAUUUUCCUACAAUCCUUAAUUAUUUCCUGGCUACAAGUCUUUAAAGAAGGGCUGGGUUUUAAUUUUCUUUAUGAUGUUUUUAGUUCAUUCAUAAAUUGAAUUUUUCUGUUCAGGCAUACACAUUUCUUUUUGAUUAUAAUUCUUAUGUGUAUUAUAUUUCUACUAUGUAUCUCUCAUUUUUUUGUUUUUUGUUUUUGUUUUGAG